UGUGUGACUGCGUACCUUUUGUAUAAUGGGUCAGCGACUUAUAUUCUGUAGCAAGGUUAACCGAAUAGGGGAGCCGAAGGGAAACCGAGUCUUAACUGGGCGUUAAGUUGCAGGGUAUAGACCCGAAACCCGGUGAUCUAGCCAUGGGCAGGUUGAAGGUUGGGUAACACUAACUGGAGGACCGAACCGACUAAUGUUGAAAAAUUAGCGGAUGACUUGUGGCUGGGGGUGAAAGGCCAAUCAAACCGGGAGAUAGCUGGUUCUCCCCGAAAGCUAUUUAGGUAGCGCCUCGUGAAUUCAUCUCCGGGGGUAGAGCACUGUUUCGGCAAGGGGGUCAUCCCGACUUACCAACCCGAUGCAAACUGCGAAUACCGGAGAAUGUUAUCACGGGAGACACACGGCGGGUGCUAACGUCCGUCGUGAAGAGGGAAACAACCCAGACCGCCAGCUAAGGUCCCAAAGUCAUGGUUAAGUGGGAAACGAUGUGGGAAGGCCCAGACAGCCAGGAUGUUGGCUUAGAAGCAGCCAUCAUUUAAAGAAAGCGUAAUAGCUCACUGGUCGAGUCGGCCUGCGCGGAAGAUGUAACGGGGCUAAACCAUGCACCGAAGCUGCGGCAGCGACGCUGAUGCGUUGUUGGGUAGGGGAGCGUUCUGUAAGCCUGUGAAGGUGUGCUGUGAGGCAUGCUGGAGGUAUCAGAAGUGCGAAUGCUGACAUAAGUAACGAUAAAGCGGGUGAAAAGCCCGCUCGCCGGAAGACCAAGGGUUCCUGUCCAACGUUAAUCGGGGCAGGGUGAGUCGACCCCUAAGGCGAGGCCGAAAGGCGUAGUCGAUGGGAAACAGGUUAAUAUUCCUGUACUUGGUGUUACUGCGAAGGGGGGACGGAGAAGGCUAUGUUGGCCGGGCGACGGUUGUCCCGGUUUAAGCGUGUAGGCUGGUUUUCCAGGCAAAUCCGGAAAACUAAGGCUGAGGCGUGAUGACGAGGCACUACGGUGCUGAAGCAACAAAUGCCCUGCUUCCAGGAAAAGCCUCUAAGCAUCAGGUAACAUCAAAUCGUACCCCAAACCGACACAGGUGGUCAGGUAGAGAAUACCAAGGCGCUUGAGAGAACUCGGGUGAAGGAACUAGGCAAAAUGGUGCCGUAACUUCGGGAGAAGGCACGCUGAUAUGUAGGUGAAGUCCCUCGCGGAUGGAGCUGAAAUCAGUCGAAGAUACCAGCUGGCUGCAACUGUUUAUUAAAAACACAGCACUGUGCAAACACGAAAGUGGACGUAUACGGUGUGACGCCUGCCCGGUGCCGGAAGGUUAAUUGAUGGGGUCAGCGCAAGCGAAGCUCUUGAUCGAAGCCCCGGUAAACGGCGGCCGUAACUAUAACGGUCCUAAGGUAGCGAAAUUCCUUGUCGGGUAAGUUCCGACCUGCACGAAUGGCGUAAUGAUGGCCAGGCUGUCUCCACCCGAGACUCAGUGAAAUUGAACUCGCUGUGAAGAUGCAGUGUACCCGCGGCAAGACGGAAAGACCCCGUGAACCUUUACUAUAGCUUGACACUGAACAUUGAGCCUUGAUGUGUAGGAUAGGUGGGAGGCUUUGAAGUGUGGACGCCAGUCUGCAUGGAGCCGACCUUGAAAUACCACCCUUUAAUGUUUGAUGUUCUAACGUUGACCCGUAAUCCGGGUUGCGGACAGUGUCUGGUGGGUAGUUUGACUGGGGCGGUCUCCUCCUAAAGAGUAACGGAGGAGCACGAAGGUUGGCUAAUCCUGGUCGGACAUCAGGAGGUUAGUGCAAUGGCAUAAGCCAGCUUGACUGCGAGCGUGACGGCGCGAGCAGGUGCGAAAGCAGGUCAUAGUGAUCCGGUGGUUCUGAAUGGAAGGGCCAUCGCUCAACGGAUAAAAGGUACUCCGGGGAUAACAGGCUGAUACCGCCCAAGAGUUCAUAUCGACGGCGGUGUUUGGCACCUCGAUGUCGGCUCAUCACAUCCUGGGGCUGAAGUAGGUCCCAAGGGUAUGGCUGUUCGCCAUUUAAAGUGGUACGCGAGCUGGGUUUAGAACGUCGUGAGACAGUUCGGUCCCUAUCUGCCGUGGGCGCUGGAGAACUGAGGGGGGCUGCUCCUAGUACGAGAGGACCGGAGUGGACGCAUCACUGGUGUUCGGGUUGUCAUGCCAAUGGCACUGCCCGGUAGCUAAAUGCGGAAGAGAUAAGUGCUGAAAGCAUCUAAGCACGAAACUUGCCCCGAGAUGAGUUCUCCCUGACUCCUUGAGAGUCCUGAAGGAACGUUGAAG
This 2273-nucleotide ribosomal RNA is filed under the name Escherichia coli. RNAcentral describes it as "partial 23S ribosomal RNA". It matches the Rfam family "Bacterial large subunit ribosomal RNA", at positions 590 to 2843 of the family's 2925-position model. The record is from RNAcentral. Lineage: Bacteria; Pseudomonadati; Pseudomonadota; Gammaproteobacteria; Enterobacterales; Enterobacteriaceae.